GGUUAAGUUAGAAAGGGCGCACGGUGAAUGCCUUGGCACUAGGAGCCGAUGAAGGACGGGACUAACACCGAUAUGCUUCGGGGAGCUGUAAGUGAGCUUUGAUCCGGAGAUUUCCGAAUGGGGAAACCCACUGUUCGUAAUGGAGCAGUAUCUUUAUCUGAAUACAUAGGAUAUUGAAGGCAGACCCGGGGAACUGAAACAUCUAAGUACCCGGAGGAAGAGAAAGCAAAUGCGAUUUCCUGAGUAGCGGCGAGCGAAACGGAAUUAGCCCAAACCAAGAGGCUUGCCUCUUGGGGUUGUAGGACACUCUAUACGGAGUUACAAAGGAACGAAGUAAAUGAAGCGACCUGGAAAGGUCCGUCGAAGAAGGUAACAACCCUGUAGUUGAAACUUCGUUCCCUCUUGAGUGGAUCCUGAGUACGGCGGAACACGUGAAAUUCCGUCGGAAGCUGGGAGGACCAUCUCCCAAGGCUAAAUACUACCUAGUGACCGAUAGUGAACCAGUACCGUGAGGGAAAGGUGAAAAGCACCCCGGAAGGGGAGUGAAAGAGAUCCUGAAACCGUGUGCCUACAAGUAGUCAGAGCCCGUUAACGGGUGAUGGCGUGCCUUUUGUAGAAUGAACCGGCGAGUUACGAUCCCAUGCAAGGUUAAGCUGAUAAGGCGGAGCCGUAGCGAAAGCGAGUCUGAAUAGGGCGUUUAGUAUGUGGUUGUAGACCCGAAACCAGGUGAUCUACCCAUGUCCAGGGUGAAGUUCAGGUAACACUGAAUGGAGGCCCGAACCCACGCACGUUGAAAAGUGCGGGGAUGAGGUGUGGGUAGCGGAGAAAUUCCAAUCGAACCUGGAGAUAGCUGGUUCUCUCCGAAAUAGCUUUAGGGCUAGCCUCAUGUUGUGAGAGUCUUGGAGGUAGAGCACUGAUUGGACUAGGGGCCCCCAACGGGUUACCGAAUUCAGUCAAACUCCGAAUGCCAAAGACUUAUCCAUGGGAGUCAGACUGCGAGUGAUAAGAUCCGUAGUCAAAAGGGAAACAGCCCAGACCACCAGCUAAGGUCCCCAAGUAUACGUUAAGUGGAAAAGGAUGUGGAGUUGCUUAGACAACCAGGAUGUUGGCUUAGAAGCAGCCACCAUUUAAAGAGUGCGUAAUAGCUCACUGGUCGAGUGACUCUGCGCCGAAAAUGUACCGGGGCUAAACGUAUCACCGAAGCUGUGGAUUGACAUCUUUGAUGUCAGUGGUAGGAGAGCGUUCUAAGUGCAGCGAAGUCAGACCGUAAGGACUGGUGGAGCGCUUAGAAGUGAGAAUGCCGGUAUGAGUAGCGAAAGACAAGUGAGAAUCUUGUCCACCGAAUGCCUAAGGUUUCCUGAGGAAGGCUCGUCCGCUCAGGGUUAGUCGGGACCUAAGCCGAGGCUGAAAAGCGUAGGCGAUGGCCAACAGGUUGAUAUUCCUGUACCACCUCCCCGCCGUUUGAGUAAUGGGGGGACGCAGUAGGAUAGGGUAAGCGCGCUGCUGGAUAUGCGCGUUCAAGCAGUUAGGCUGAUGAGUAGGCAAAUCCGCUCAUCAUAAAGGCUGAGCUGUGAUGACGAGGGAAUUAUAGUACCGAAGUUCCUGAUUCCACACUGCCAAGAAAAGCCUCUAGCGAGGCGGGAGGUGCCCGUACCGCAAACCGACACAGGUAGGCGAGGAGAGAAUCCUAAGGUGAUCGAGAGAACUCUCGUUAAGGAACUCGGCAAAAUGACCCCGUAACUUCGGGAGAAGGGGUGCUCUGGUAGGGUGUAUAGCCCGAGAGAGCCGCAGUGAAUAGGCCCAGGCGACUGUUUAGCAAAAACACAGGUCUCUGCGAAGCCGCAAGGCGAAGUAUAGGGGCUGACGCCUGCCCGGUGCUGGAAGGUUAAGAGGAGGGGUUAUCCUUUGGGAGAAGCUCUGAAUCGAAGCCCCAGUAAACGGCGGCCGUAACUAUAACGGUCCUAAGGUAGCGAAAUUCCUUGUCGGGUAAGUUCCGACCCGCACGAAAGGCGUAACGAUCUGGGCACUGUCUCAACGAGAGACUCGGUGAAAUUAUAGUACCUGUGAAGAUGCAGGUUACCCGCGACAGGACGGAAAGACCCCGUGGAGCUUUACUGUAGCCUGAUAUUGAAUUUUGGUACAGCUUGUACAGGAUAGGUAGGAGCCUGAGAAGCCGGAGCGCUAGCUUCGGUGGAGGCGUCGGUGGGAUACUACCCUGGCUGUAUUGAAAUUCUAACCCGCGGCCCUGAUCGGGCCGGGAGACAGUGUCAGGUGGGCAGUUUGACUGGGGCGGUCGCCUCCUAAAAUGUAACGGAGGCGCCCAAAGGUUCCCUCAGAAUGGUUGGAAAUCAUUCGUAGAGUGUAAAGGCACAAGGGAGCUUGACUGCGAGACCUACAAGUCGAGCAGGGACGAAAGUCGGGCUUAGUGAUCCGGUGGUUCCGCAUGGAAGGGCCAUCGCUCAACGGAUAAAAGCUACCCCGGGGAUAACAGGCUUAUCUCCCCCAAGAGUCCACAUCGACGGGGAGGUUUGGCACCUCGAUGUCGGCUCAUCGCAUCCUGGGGCUGUAGUCGGUCCCAAGGGUUGGGCUGUUCGCCCAUUAAAGCGGUACGCGAGCUGGGUUCAGAACGUCGUGAGACAGUUCGGUCCCUAUCCGUCGUGGGCGUAGGAAAUUUGAGAGGAGCUGUCCUUAGUACGAGAGGACCGGGAUGGACACACCGCUGGUGUACCAGUUGUCUUGCCAAAGGCAUCGCUGGGUAGCUAUGUGUGGACGGGAUAAGUGCUGAAAGCAUCUAAGCAUGAAGCCCCCCUCAAGAUGAGAUUUCCCAUAGCGCAAGCUAGUAAGAUCCCUGAAAGAUGAUCAGGUUGAUAGGUCAGAGGUGGAAGCGUGGCGACACGUGUAGCUGACUGAUACUAAUCGAUCGAGGACUUAACCAA
RNAcentral lists this ribosomal RNA (2936 nucleotides) under Priestia megaterium. RNAcentral describes it as "23S ribosomal RNA". It matches the Rfam family "Bacterial large subunit ribosomal RNA". Lineage: Bacteria; Bacillati; Bacillota; Bacilli; Caryophanales; Bacillaceae. The record is from RNAcentral.